Molecule: ribosomal RNA, 253 nt
Filed under: uncultured bacterium
Lineage: Bacteria
Description: partial 16S ribosomal RNA
Rfam family: Bacterial small subunit ribosomal RNA
Source: RNAcentral
UACGUAGGGGGCUAGCGUUGUCCGGAAUCAUUGGGCGUAAAGAGCGUGUAGGCGGUCCGGUAAGUCCGCUGUGAAAGUCGGGGGCUCAACCCUCGAAUGCCGGUGGAUACUGUCGGGCUAGAGUACGGAAGAGGCGAGUGGAAUUCCUGGUGUAGCGGUGAAAUGCGCAGAUAUCUGGAGGAACACCGAUGGCGAAGGCAGCUCGCUGGGACGGUACUGACGCUGAGGCGCGAAAGCGUGGGGAGCAAACAGG